RNAcentral lists this ribosomal RNA (497 nucleotides) under uncultured bacterium. RNAcentral describes it as "partial 16S ribosomal RNA". It matches the Rfam family "Bacterial small subunit ribosomal RNA", at positions 28 to 507 of the family's 1533-position model. The record is from RNAcentral.
GAUGAACGCUGGCGGCGUGCCUAAUACAUGCCAGUCGAGCGAACGGACGAGAAGCUUGCUUCUCUGAUGUUAGCGGCGGACGGGCGAGUAACACGCGGAUAACCUACCUAUAAGACUGGGAUAACUUCGGGAAACAGGAGCUAAUACCGGAUAAUAUUUUGAACCGCAUGGAUCAAAAGUGAAGGACGGUCUUGCUGUCACUUAUAGAUGGAUCCGCGCUGCAUUAGCUAGUUGGUAAGGUAACGGCUUACCAAGGCAACGAUGCGUAGCCGACCUGAGAGGGUGAUCGGCCACACUGGAACUGAGACACGGUCCAGACUCCUACGGGAGGCAGCAGUAGGGAAUCUUCCGCAAUGGGCGAAAGCCUGACGGAGCAACGCCGCGUGAGUGAUGAAGGUCUUCGGAUCGUAAAGCUCUGUUAUUAGGGAAGAACAUAUGUGUAAGUAACUGUGCACAUCUUGACGGUACCUAAUCAGAAAGCCACGGCUAACUACGUG